Molecule: ribosomal RNA, 750 nt
Filed under: Brachybacterium paraconglomeratum
Lineage: Bacteria; Bacillati; Actinomycetota; Actinomycetes; Micrococcales; Dermabacteraceae
Description: bacterial SSU rRNA
Rfam family: Bacterial small subunit ribosomal RNA
Source: RNAcentral
ACCGCCUGAUUAGUGGCGAACGGGUGAGUAACACGUGAGUAACCUGCCCUCCACUUCGGGAUAACCUCGGGAAAUCGUGGCUAAUACCGGAUAUGAGCACUCAUCGCAUGGUGGGUGUUGGAAAGAUUUAUCGGUGGGGGAUGGACUCGCGGCCUAUCAGUUUGUUGGUGAGGUGAUGGCUCACCAAGACGAUGACGGGUAGCCGGCCUGAGAGGGCGACCGGCCACACUGGGACUGAGACACGGCCCAGACUCCUACGGGAGGCAGCAGUGGGGAAUAUUGCACAAUGGGCGAAAGCCUGAUGCAGCGACGCCGCGUGGGGGAUGACGGCCUUCGGGUUGUAAACCCCUUUCAGUAGGGAAGAAGCGAGAGUGACGGUACCUGCAGAAGAAGCGCCGGCUAACUACGUGCCAGCAGCCGCGGUAAUACGUAGGGCGCAAGCGUUGUCCGGAAUUAUUGGGCGUAAAGAGCUUGUAGGUGGCUUGUCGCGUCUGCCGUGAAAACCCGAGGCUCAACCUCGGGCGUGCGGUGGGUACGGGCAGGCUAGAGUGUGGUAGGGGAGACUGGAACUCCUGGUGUAGCGGUGAAAUGCGCAGAUAUCAGGAAGAACACCGAUGGCGAAGGCAGGUCUCUGGGCCAUUACUGACACUGAGAAGCGAAAGCAUGGGUAGCGAACAGGAUUAGAUACCCUGGUAGUCCAUGCCGUAAACGUUGGGCACUAGGUGUGGGGGACAUUCCACGUUUUCCGCG